CGGGACACGUGGUAUCCUGUCUGAAUAUGGGGGGACCAUCCUCCAAGGCUAAAUACUCCUGACUGACCGAUAGUGAACCAGUACCGUGAGGGAAAGGCGAAAAGAACCCCGGCGAGGGGAGUGAAAAAGAACCUGAAACCGUGUACGUACAAGCAGUGGGAGCACGCUUAGGCGUGUGACUGCGUACCUUUUGUAUAAUGGGUCAGCGACUUAUAUUCUGUAGCAAGGUUAACCGAAUAGGGGAGCCGAAGGGAAACCGAGUCUUAACUGGGCGUUAAGUUGCAGGGUAUAGACCCGAAACCCGGUGAUCUAGCCAUGGGCAGGUUGAAGGUUGGGUAACACUAACUGGAGGACCGAACCGACUAAUGUUGAAAAAUUAGCGGAUGACUUGUGGCUGGGGGUGAAAGGCCAAUCAAACCGGGAGAUAGCUGGUUCUCCCCGAAAGCUAUUUAGGUAGCGCCUCGUGAAUUCAUCUCCGGGGGUAGAGCACUGUUUCGGCAAGGGGGUCAUCCCGACUUACCAACCCGAUGCAAACUGCGAAUACCGGAGAAUGUUAUCACGGGAGACACACGGCGGGUGCUAACGUCCGUCGUGAAGAGGGAAACAACCCAGACCGCCAGCUAAGGUCCCAAAGUCAUGGUUAAGUGGGAAACGAUGUGGGAAGGCCCAGACAGCCAGGAUGUUGGCUUAGAAGCAGCCAUCAUUUAAAGAAAGCGUAAUAGCUCACUGGUCGAGUCGGCCUGCGCGGAAGAUGUAACGGGGCUAAACCAUGCACCGAAGCUGCGGCAGCGACGCUGAUGCGUUGUUGGGUAGGGGAGCGUUCUGUAAGCCUGUGAAGGUGUGCUGUGAGGCAUGCUGGAGGUAUCAGAAGUGCGAAUGCUGACAUAAGUAACGAUAAAGCGGGUGAAAAGCCCGCUCGCCGGAAGACCAAGGGUUCCUGUCCAACGUUAAUCGGGGCAGGGUGAGUCGACCCCUAAGGCGAGGCCGAAAGGCGUAGUCGAUGGGAAACAGGUUAAUAUUCCUGUACUUGGUGUUACUGCGAAGGGGGGACGGAGAAGGCUAUGUUGGCCGGGCGACGGUUGUCCCGGUUUAAGCGUGUAGGCUGGUUUUCCAGGCAAAUCCGGAAAAUCAAGGCUGAGGCGUGAUGACGAGGCACUACGGUGCUGAAGCAACAAAUGCCCUGCUUCCAGGAAAAGCCUCUAAGCAUCAGGUAACAUCAAAUCGUACCCCAAACCGACACAGGUGGUCAGGUAGAGAAUACCAAGGCGCUUGAGAGAACUCGGGUGAAGGAACUAGGCAAAAUGGUGCCGUAACUUCGGGAGAAGGCACGCUGAUAUGUAGGUGAAGCGACUUGCUCGUGGAGCUGAAAUCAGUCGAAGAUACCAGCUGGCUGCAACUGUUUAUUAAAAACACAGCACUGUGCAAACACGAAAGUGGACGUAUACGGUGUGACGCCUGCCCGGUGCCGGAAGGUUAAUUGAUGGGGUCAGCGCAAGCGAAGCUCUUGAUCGAAGCCCCGGUAAACGGCGGCCGUAACUAUAACGGUCCUAAGGUAGCGAAAUUCCUUGUCGGGUAAGUUCCGACCUGCACGAAUGGCGUAAUGAUGGCCAGGCUGUCUCCACCCGAGACUCAGUGAAAUUGAACUCGCUGUGAAGAUGCAGUGUACCCGCGGCAAGACGGAAAGACCCCGUGAACCUUUACUAUAGCUUGACACUGAACAUUGAGCCUUGAUGUGUAGGAUAGGUGGGAGGCUUUGAAGUGUGGACGCCAGUCUGCAUGGAGCCGGCCUUGAAAUACCACCCUUUAAUGUUUGAUGUUCUAACGUUGACCCGUGAUCCGGGUUGCGGACAGUGUCUGGUGGGUAGUUUGACUGGGGCGGUCUCCUCCUAAAGAGUAACGGAGGAGCACGAAGGUUGGCUAAUCCUGGUCGGACAUCAGGAGGUUAGUGCAAUGGCAUAAGCCAGCUUGACUGCGAGCGUGACGGCGCGAGCAGGUGCGAAAGCAGGUCAUAGUGAUCCGGUGGUUCUGAAUGGAAGGGCCAUCGCUCAACGGAUAAAAGGUACUCCGGGGAUAACAGGCUGAUACCGCCCAAGAGUUC
Molecule: ribosomal RNA, 2098 nt
Filed under: Escherichia coli
Lineage: Bacteria; Pseudomonadati; Pseudomonadota; Gammaproteobacteria; Enterobacterales; Enterobacteriaceae
Description: partial 23S ribosomal RNA
Rfam family: Bacterial large subunit ribosomal RNA
Source: RNAcentral